GACGAACGCUGGCGGCGUGCUUAACACAUGCAAGUCGAACGGAAAGGCCCUGCUUUUGUGGGGUGCUCGAGUGGCGAACGGGUGAGUAACACGUGAGUAACCUGCCCUUGACUUUGGGAUAACUUCAGGAAACUGGGGCUAAUACCGGAUAGGAGCUCCUGCUGCAUGGUGGGGGUUGGAAAGUUUCGGCGGUUGGGGAUGGACUCGCGACUUAUCAGCUUGUUGGUGGGGUAGUGGCUUACCAAGGCUUUGACGGGUAGCCGGCCUGAGAGGGUGACCGGCCACAUUGGGACUGAGAUGCGGCCCAGACUCCUACGGGAGGCAGCAGUGGGGAAUAUUGCACAAUGGGCGGAAGCCUGAUGCAGCAACGCCGCGUGCGGGAUGACGGCCUUCGGGUUGUAAACCGCUUUCGCCUGUGACGAAGCGUGAGUGACGGUAAUGGGUAAAGAAGCACCGGCUAACUACGUG
This 468-nucleotide ribosomal RNA is filed under the name uncultured bacterium. RNAcentral describes it as "partial 16S ribosomal RNA". It matches the Rfam family "Bacterial small subunit ribosomal RNA", at positions 28 to 507 of the family's 1533-position model. The record is from RNAcentral.